RNAcentral lists this long non-coding RNA (1138 nucleotides) under Heterocephalus glaber (naked mole-rat). RNAcentral describes it as "lncRNA (ENSHGLG00100045435.1)". Lineage: Eukaryota; Metazoa; Chordata; Mammalia; Rodentia; Bathyergidae. The record is from RNAcentral.
UGUGGGAAUUCAGAAUGUUUUAUUUCGCCAGGCAAAUGAUUUCUUCGAUAUCUAAGGAAAUGUCAGUGUGAAAACUACAUUUAGUUCUUCUGACAGAGUAAACAUUCACCAAAAUGACAGUUUCAUCAUGCCAAAAUCUACCUACACUUUGGAGGGAAAAAGUGCAUUUUUAGGACAUUUUAUAUACAAUGCAAAUGGAAAACACGUUAAACCGUUACAUUGUCAAACAACAUAAACCAAAACCAAUCAACCAACAAUGUUCAGGAUACAUUGACAGACUUUUUGGUAAGAAAAAUUUCUUGACAUUUGGCAAAGUUGUGUUCAAGAGGACAUUCCGUAGUUUUAAAACAAAAGUAAGAAAAGUAUACAGAAUUCAACAUUGUUCAAAAUAGAAGGCAUUAAAUAGCACAGAUAAUAUAAAACUAAACACCAGCACUGUCUGUCAGUUUGGGUCUAUGUGCAGCAGGGGAACUGUGAUUCUACAACAAUUGUACUUUUAACUCCAUAUGGUGAACAGAACCACAAACACAGAGGCAACUUUGGCUCUACGUUGACCUACGCUGCUAUUUGUACAUGUAGAGGAGAAAGUGUCACCUUUUAAGCACAGAAGCCAUUUAUAUAAUAAAUUGCUGUAGAGAUUUAAAAUCAUAUACAUUUGGAACAAUAGCUCCUAAUAAAUAUCAUUUGCAUUGUACAUGUUAAUGAUUACUUUUGCAAUACGGAUGCCUCCUCUUAGAAUGCUGAAAUUUAUCACCACUUAGAUAAUAAAUUAUGUUCUUAGAUUCUAAUCAACGGCCACAUUCUUUUGACCAAUAUCUUAGUUUUUUGUGUGUAUAUUUUUUGAAACUGGGAUUAAACACAGGGCCCUUUCUUACUAAGCAUGGACUCUAACCACUGAUCUACAUUCCUAGCUGAGAUUUUAGUUCUUGGGCUUUUACACCUCAAUGUUCAAAAAGGUGAAAUAGCUGUCUGAAAUUUCAUAUUUCUUCAUGAAUUACUAACUAGAAAUAAAAUUUUUGUACUAGAUUUUCAACAGACAAAUGGUGCAAUUUUUGUUUUGACCUAGAAACAAAAAUGAAGAAGCAAAAGUUGUAUUUUUAAAAGAAAUAUUAAAAUGUGAGGAAAUUUCUCCCAUUUC